CUUAAAUUGAAGAGUUUGAUCAUGGCUCAGAUUGAACGCUGGCGGCAGGCCUAACACAUGCAAGUCGAGCGGAAACGAGUUAUCUGAACCUUCGGGGAACGAUAACGGCGUCGAGCGGCGGACGGGUGAGUAAUGCCUAGGA
RNAcentral lists this ribosomal RNA (142 nucleotides) under Vibrio parahaemolyticus. RNAcentral describes it as "partial 16S ribosomal RNA". It matches the Rfam family "Bacterial small subunit ribosomal RNA", at positions 1 to 122 of the family's 1533-position model. Lineage: Bacteria; Pseudomonadati; Pseudomonadota; Gammaproteobacteria; Vibrionales; Vibrionaceae. The record is from RNAcentral.